This 406-nucleotide ribosomal RNA is filed under the name uncultured bacterium. RNAcentral describes it as "partial 16S ribosomal RNA". It matches the Rfam family "Bacterial small subunit ribosomal RNA", at positions 29 to 526 of the family's 1533-position model. The record is from RNAcentral.
AUUGAACGCUGGCGGCAUGCCUAACACAUGCAAGUCGAACGAGUGGCGGACGGGUGAGUAAUGUCUGGGAAACUGCCUGAUGGAGGGGGAUAACUACUGGAAACGGUAGCUAAUACCGCAUACCAUCGGAUGUGCCCAGAUGGGAUUAGCUAGGAGGGGGGGUAAAGGCUCACCUAGGCGACGAUGCCUAGCUGGUGUGAGAGGAUGACAGGCGACACGGGAACGGAGACACGGCCCAGACGCCUACGGUAGGCAGCAGAGGGGAAUAGGGCGCAAUGGGCGCAAGCCUGACGCAGCCAUGCCGCGUGUAUGAAGAAGGCGUUCGGUGUGUAAAGUACUUUCUGCGGGGAGGCGUUACCCGCAGAAGAAGCACCGGCUAACUCCGUGCCAGCAGCCGCGGUAAUUC